RNAcentral lists this ribosomal RNA (1091 nucleotides) under Candidatus Portiera aleyrodidarum (primary endosymbiont of Bemisia tabaci). Its description in RNAcentral is "bacterial SSU rRNA". It matches the Rfam family "Bacterial small subunit ribosomal RNA", at positions 56 to 1141 of the family's 1533-position model. The record is from RNAcentral. Lineage: Bacteria; Pseudomonadati; Pseudomonadota; Gammaproteobacteria; Johnevansiales (SeqCode); Johnevansiaceae (SeqCode).
UGCAAGUCGAGCGGCAUCAUACAGGUUGGCAAGCGGCGCACGGGUGAGUAAUACAUGUAAAUAUACCUAAAAGUGGGGAAUAACGUACGGAAACGUACGCUAAUACCGCAUAAUUAUUACGAGAUAAAGCAGGGGCUUGAUAAAAAAAAUCAACCUUGCGCUUUUAGAAAAUUACAUGCCGGAUUAGCUAGUUGGUAGAGUAAAAGCCUACCAAGGUAACGAUCCGUAGCUGGUCUGAGAGGAUGAUCAGCCACACUGGGACUGAGAAAAGGCCCAGACUCCUACGGGAGGCAGCAGUGGGGAAUAUUGGACAAUGGGGGGAACCCUGAUCCAGUCAUGCCGCGUGUGUGAAGAAGGCCUUUUGGGUUGUAAAGCACUUUCAGCGAAGAAGAAAAGUUAGAAAAUAAAAAGUUAUAACUAUGACGGUACUCGCAGAAGAAGCACCGGCUWACUCCGUGCCAGCAGCCGCGGUAAGACGGAGGGUGCAAGCGUUAAUCAGAAUUACUGGGCGUAAAGGGCAUGUAGGUGGUUUGUUAAGCUUUAUGUGAAAGCCCUAUGCUUAACAUANGAACGGAAUAAAGAACUGACAAACUAGAGUGCAGAAGAGGAAGGUAGAAUUCCCGGUGUAGCGGUGAAAUGCGUAGAUAUCUGGAGGAAUACCAGUUGCGAAGGCGACCUUCUGGGCUGACACUGACACUGAGAUGCGAAAGCGUGGGGAGCAAACAGGAUUAGAUACCCUGGUAGUCCACGCUGUAAACGAUAUCAACUAGCCGUUGGAUUCUUAAAGAAUUUUGUGGCGUAGCUAACGCGAUAAGUUGAUCGCCUGGGGAGUACGGUCGCAAGGCUAAAACUCAAAUGAAUUGACGGGGGCCCGCACAAGCGGUGGAGCAUGUGGUUUAAUUCGAUGCAACGCGCAAAACCUUACCUACUCUUGACAUCCAAAGUACUUUCCAGAGAUGGAAGGGUGCCUUAGGGAACUUUGAGACAGGUGCUGCAUGGCUGUCGUCAGCUCGUGUUGUGAAAUGUUGGGUUAAGUCCCGUAACGAGCGCAACCCUUGUCCUUAGUUGCCAACGCAUAAGGCGGGAACUUU